AUGUUGUUUUCUAUCAGUCCCAAGCGGAUACUCCCCAGCUUCCAUGGUCUGCUUACCGAGGAAGAGAUGCGGGAGGACCCAGGGCCAGAGCAAGUUGGGUUGGGGUAUAGAGCCGUAAGCGCGGUGGGGGUGACAGAGGAUGUGCUCGUACGGUUCAUAGUUGGGUAUGAUAUUCUUGUGGAUUGUUGGGAACGUCCUCUAUAUUCGAAAUAUGCCUUUCUAGGAGCAUUACGGUCUGCAGCUAUUUCCCCCCUUUUUGGUUUUCUAUUUCUUCAUCGGUUUUCUUCAGUUUUACCUUUUUCUACUUUACCGAUUUUCCAUGUUUCUUUCACGGUAUUCAUUGGUUUUUUAUUUUCUUUAUUUUUACUUCUUUUUUACUUCUUUCUUCCUUUCUUGGUUUUCACUGUUUUUUGCUUUUUCUUUCUUUCCUUCUUCGUUUCUUUCUUUCUUUCUUGA
This 456-nucleotide ribosomal RNA is filed under the name Triticum aestivum (bread wheat). Its description in RNAcentral is "partial small subunit ribosomal RNA". Lineage: Eukaryota; Viridiplantae; Streptophyta; Magnoliopsida; Poales; Poaceae. The record is from RNAcentral.